ACCUGGCUAGCUCAGUUGGUGGAGCAUGUGACUAUUGAUCUUGGGGUUGUAGGUUCAAGCCCCAUGUUGGGUG
This 73-nucleotide transfer RNA is filed under the name Canis lupus familiaris (dog). It matches the Rfam family "tRNA". From Rfam's summary of the family: Transfer RNA (tRNA) molecules are approximately 80 nucleotides in length. The record is from Rfam by way of RNAcentral. Lineage: Eukaryota; Metazoa; Chordata; Mammalia; Carnivora; Canidae.